Molecule: transfer RNA, 74 nt
Filed under: Enterococcus hirae
Lineage: Bacteria; Bacillati; Bacillota; Bacilli; Lactobacillales; Enterococcaceae
Description: tRNA-Met
Rfam family: tRNA
About the family: Transfer RNA (tRNA) molecules are approximately 80 nucleotides in length.
Source: RNAcentral
GUACCCUUAGCUCAGUUGGUUAGAGCAGUCGGUCCAUAACCGUCCGGUCGUAGGUUCGAGUCCUACAGGGUACA